ACGGGUGAGUAAUAUAUCGGAACAUACCCUAGAGUGGGGGAUAACGUAGCGAAAGUUACGCUAAUACCGCAUACGAUCUAAGGAUGAAAGCGGGGGAUCGCAAGACCUCGUGCUCAUGGAGUGGCCGAUAUCUGAUUAGCUAGUUGGUAGGGUAAAAGCCUACCAAGGCGACGAUCAGUAGCUGGUUUGAGAGAACGACCAGCCACACUGGAACUGAGACACGGUCCAGACUCCUACGGGAGGCAGCAGUGGGGAAUUUUGGACAAUGGGGGCAACCCUGAUCCAGCAAUGCCGCGUGAGUGAAGAAGGCCUUCGGGUUGUAAAGCUCUUUUGUCAGGGAAGAAACGGUGAGUUCUAAUACAACUUGCUAAUGACGGUACCUGAAGAAUAAGCACCGGCUAACUACGUGCCAGCAGCCGCGGUAAUACGUAGGGUGCAAGCGUUAAUCGGAAUUACUGGGCGUAAAGCGUGCGCAGGCGGUUUUAUAAGUCUGAUGUGAAAUCCCCGGGCUCAACCUGGGAACUGCAUUGGAGACUGUAAGGCUAGAGUGUGUCAGAGGGGGGUAGAAUUCCACGUGUAGCA
This 582-nucleotide ribosomal RNA is filed under the name Undibacterium sp. StTD415. Its description in RNAcentral is "bacterial SSU rRNA". It matches the Rfam family "Bacterial small subunit ribosomal RNA", at positions 102 to 680 of the family's 1533-position model. Lineage: Bacteria; Pseudomonadati; Pseudomonadota; Betaproteobacteria; Burkholderiales; Oxalobacteraceae. The record is from RNAcentral.